GAUGAACGCUGGCGGCGUGCUUAACACAUGCAAGUCGAGCGAGAAGUUUUGAAAAGAUUCUUCGGAUGAAAUUUAAAAUGGAAAGCGGCGGACGGGUGAGUAACGCGUAGGCAACCUGCCCCAUACAAAGGGAUAGCAUUUGGAAACGAAUAUUAAUACCUUAUGAAACUUAACUAGUGCAUGCUAGGUAGGUCAAAGCUGUAUCGGUAUGGGAUGGGCCUGCGUCUGAUUAGCUAGUUGGUGAGGUAACGGCGCACCGAGGCGACGAUCAGUAGCCGACCUGAGGAGGCGAACGGCCACAUUGGAACUGAGGCACGGGCCAAACUUCUACGGGAGGGAGCAGUGGGGAAUAUUGCACAAUGGGGGAAACCCUGAUGCAGCAACGGCGCGUGAACGAUGGAGGUCUUGGGGUCGUAAAGUUCUGUUUUAGGUGAUGAAAACUGACAGUAACCUAGGAGAAAGCCCCGGCUAACUCCGUG
This 479-nucleotide ribosomal RNA is filed under the name uncultured bacterium. RNAcentral's name for it is "partial 16S ribosomal RNA". It matches the Rfam family "Bacterial small subunit ribosomal RNA", at positions 28 to 507 of the family's 1533-position model. The record is from RNAcentral.